GAAUCAAGAGAGCAGGAUUCAAGUGCUCCUUGAAUCAAUUCACUGUUUCUCGGAUCAGGGUUUUAUAUAUUAGUGGUACUUUUGUUUUCAUUGAUGCAUAUAUAAAAUGCAUCAGAUUUAACCUCUGUUUCUUUCGUCAUCUUUAAUUGAAUAUUAGUGACCUUGGUCAGAAUUAAAUAGUGUUCCAUUUUUCUAUCCCUCUGUUGUGAUAUGUGUGUUUUCUCCAUUAACGUUGAUUUGUUUAGUAUUGCAGUAAUGUCAUAAUGUGUUAAUGUGAUAUCCCUUGAAGGUUUAACACCUACUGUUGAAACUUACGGUAUUAUUUUGGAUUCAUUCUGAUUCAUGGAUUUCUCAAGGAGGGGAAAGUUGACGAGGCUAUAAACCUUUUUCAUAGUCUUCCUUUGAAGGGUUUACGCCCUACAGUGAUAUCCUACAACUUUAUGAUCAAAUAAUUGCUGGAAGAAGCAUAUAAAAUGCUUUUGGAAUUGAAAGAAAAUAAUUGCUUGCCUAAUGAAGUUACAAUACUACACUUUUAUCCGUGGCUGCUUUAAGAAUAAGAUGUAUGAUGGAGGUUAUGUGCUGAUAGAUGAGAUUUGUGCUCAUGGUUUUAAAGCAGAUGCCUCUACCACCUCCAUGCUAUUCGACUUGCUGCAUUCAAAAGAGCAGAUGCCUCUACCACCUCCAUGCCUUGAGUACAUCAAGGAGAGAGUGAAUUAUGGUACAAAAUACUUUUAAAAUGCCAGGACUUACUAAUAAUUUGUUACAAACUUUGACGUCAAUAGCAAUUGUGAUAUUGGAGUUGAUAAUAUGUAAUUUUGUUGAAUAUCAGCUUUGCAAAUGGUGUCUGGGUUGUAUUUGCAUUAUUUGACAAAAUGAAAAGAAUGAUAAAGCUUGUGUUUUUUCUUCGACCAAAUGCAGGAAGCUGGGUUCUCUGGAGAUGCAUACCACCAGUAUAUUACAUUACAAGACCUGUACGGAACAAAUUACCUGGACCCUUCUACUCUUGCUUUGCGGUGAAAAUUUUGUCAUGGGUACUGCAAUCUCAUGACGCAAACACUCUGCAGCAUUAUUAUUUACUUGCAUUACAUUGUAAGUUUGUCUUUUAUUUCUGGCAGGCUGCUAAGACUUAACUUAAUUACUGUAGGGCUAACAUGUAGUUGCAUAAUGGUGUCUUGAGUGCAGCAAAUGUGAAGUACACCAACAUUUCCAUUUAUUUCCAUUUAUUUAUUGAUGUAUUAGUUAUUUGUAUUAUAUAUUCUAUUCGUUGUCUCUUUGCCAUUUCUUCAUUUCUUCACUACCUGAUCCUAAUCCCAGUAUUCAAAUCCCCCUAUAUUCCUUCAUCAAUGCCUCAUUUGCAGCUUCAGCAGUUACUUCAUUCGGAAUAUGAGGUUUGUUUUGAUUAACUAUUCUUGUGUGAUUGACUUCAAUCAACUGUUAUCCGCCAUCGUUGAAACAUAACCAUACACUGUUGCUGUUUCUUUUUACUGAUACUUGUAGUUUCUCCAUUCCAGUUGAUCUAUAUACCAUUAAUACCGUCAUUAAUUAUUGUUGUCAAUUGAAUAGAGUUUAUUAUGCUUUUUCAUGAAGCGUCUUCUUUUGCCAAAUGUUGUUACCUACACCAUUCUCUAUAGGGGGUUAUCUCCCAUGACAAACUUCUGGAGGUUGAGCACUGGUUCGAGAAGCUCAGCAUAAUCAGACUAAUUGAACCUGGUAUUGUUCCAUUAUUGAUAGGUUGCAACAAACCUAUCAAUAUGGACCUCCACUCUUGCAAGUUCAAUAAAUUCUUCUCAACGUCUUAUUUUUGCAAGUACCAGAGUGCCCACCUCAGGAGCUUACAUGAUUUUCAUGGACCACCAUAUACUUGUGAUUUAGGCCUCAUUUGUUAACGAGUGAACGAGACAGAUAUAGCUGGACGAGAAAAAGGUUAGCUAUUCAGAUUGUUUGUUGCUGUCGUAAUUCAACUGAACGACUGGAAAAUUCGCUGGACGAAAGAGGCUACAUAACUUCGCUGGAUGGUUCAUAUAUCUUGCUUGUGUAAGUGUGUUGAUGAAUAUGUGUGCUAAUUUAACAUAUAAUUGCUUUAUAUAAUAACUUCUUAUAUUAUAAUAUAUUUAUGAUUAUAAAAUUAAUAAAAUAAAUAGUUAAUUUUAAUUAACAAUAUUUGAAUCUUAUAAAAUAGUGGCUUAUAUAUUAACACAUCGAUUAUUAUUUUAAAAGAAAUGCAUUUAUUAUUAUAUAGAGAUAAUUGAUAAGAAAUUUGUAUUGUAAAUUUUUUUCAUGUUAAUUUAAUGAAUUAUCCAUUAUAAAUCUUAUUUUCUAAUAAAAAUAAUUAUUAAAUAAAUUUAAUAUAUAAUUUUAAGUCAUUCAGAUUUAAUUUAACAAAUGAUUCAAAAAUACAAUCAUCCAGAUAUUUACUCAUUCAGAAUUUUCAUUCAUCCAGAAAAUAUGAUCCAGAUUUAACAAAUGACCCCUUAAUCGUCACAAGUGUAUCUUUGACCGAUACAUGGGUUGUGUUAGGCUGCUCAUUAGGAGGUUCAAAAAUCAUCCUUUUUUUUUCAAAUUUUAAAUAUGUUAUUUAUAAUAUAUAUGACGUUGUAUUUAUUAUAUACUAGAUUCACGUUUCAUAUGUAUUAGAUAAUAGAAUUUGUAAUAAAACUAAGAAUUUAUAGUGACUUACCACGAAACUCCAUAAAAAACUAUAAAUUAUAUAUAUAUUGAAUUAUUAUAUUUUACAAAUUCUAUGAAAUAUGAAUUAUGUUGAAUAUUAAACUAAGGGAGUUGAAGGUGUAUUCGUCGUGAUUUUAAUAGAUUAAUUUAUGAAUGUUAAUAGAUUGUAUGUGAUUUUGGGCGGAUUCUUAAUAAAAUGUCGUUUAACUGGUAUAGUUUUGUUAGGAUUUAAGCACAAUACUUUAAAAUAUUAUAUAUUUUGGUGGAAUUUCAAAAAGUUCAAAAUAUACCGACCAUAUAUCAUUUUAUGAAGUUCAAAAAAAUCUAUCAGUAUCCGAAUACCAUCACAUUUCAAUGGAUUUUAAAAAAUCCCAAUUGAAUACCGUUAGAUUUUAUAGCAUAAUUGAAAAUCCGAUUAAAUACCACCAUAUAUUGUAGAUAUAAAAUUCCAAUUGAAUACCACGAAUGAAAAAUCUUUAAAAAUCCCAAUUAAAUACACCUGUUAAAUAUAAUUUCGCUUAUUUAUAAACACUCUAAAAUCAUCAAUAUACUUAUAUAAAGGAGAAGCGAGGGGCGUGUAGGUGGCGCCUCUCACAUCGCUCCGUUCUAUUUUUCUAAAUUUCUGGAAUUUUUGGAUGAAAAAUAUCAAAAAUUAGAACUACCUUUUUUAGUUUCGGGUAUAUUAUAAGCAAGUUUCAGAAUCUGAUUUUGUUUCAGAUUAUUUAUGGAAUAUAGUAGUUUGAAAGUUUUAAUCUGAUUUUGUUUUAGAUUAUUUAAUUAUGGGAAAAAGUAGCACAUAAGUCUUUCUGCACCUAUAAAUACCCCGGUAGAUCGUAGGUUUUUGAAUCAUCUAAAUACAACCUCCUCUCUCUCAAUACCACAACCCUACCUCUCUAAUGAUAGUUCGCUUGCUUGAUUUCUAACUCGGUGGUGCUAUUCUUCUGCAACAAUAAGUGAAGGCUCUUUAUAUAGUAUUAAAAAAAUAAAGGUUGUUGCAAGCAAAGGUAGUUUUAGACCGCUAUGCGGGAGUCGACAAAUUCAAACAUGGGAAAAGAAUAUAGUCUUGACAUGAUAUUGAUGGAUGAUAUCAAUAAAUUAACUAUUAGUGAUGUAUGUUUAUUGGUUAUUCUUUUAUAAUAUUUGUUUUGUUCAUCGGACAUGUUUGUUGUUGUUAAUUUUUAUAUGAUUUAUUUUUUAUACAUGAAAAUAUGGUGGAGAAGCGAGGGGCGUGUAGGUGGCGCCUCUCACAUCGCUCCGUUCUAUUUUUAUAAUUUUUUGGAAUUUUUGGAUGAAAAAUAUCAAAAAUUAGAACUACCUUUUUUGGUUUCGGGUAUAUUGCAAGAAAAUUUCAGAAUCUGAUUUUGUUUCAGAUUAUUUAUGGAAUAUAGUAGCUUAAAAGUUUUAAUCUGAUUUUGUUUCAGAUUAUUUAAUUAUGAGAAAGAGUAGCACACAAGUAUCUCUGCACCUAUAAAUACCCAUAUAGAUUGUAGGGUUUUGGAUCAUCUAAACACAACCUACUCUCACUCAAUACUACAACCUCACAGAUUUAAGUUGAAUGUUUUUGUGCACAAUCAAUCCAAAAAAUAGUAGCUUAAAAGUUUUAAUCUGAUUUUGUUUCAGAUUAUUUAAUUAUGAGAAAGAGUAGCACACAAGUAUCUCUGCAUCUAUAAAUACCCAUAUAGAUUGUAGGGUUUUGGAUCAUCUAAACACAACCUACUCUCACUCAAUAUUACAACCUCACAGAUUUAAGUUAGAUGUUUUUGUGCACAAUCAAUCCAAAAAAAUUGGAGAAAGGUGACAAUUUAAAAACAUAAUUUCUUUUCAAAAAAAAAAACACAAAUAAAAUUAAGAUUCGUCGUGCUUUAAAUUGUUAAUUACGUGUAUAAAUUUAUUUUCAUUUUUUCACCAUGAAUUAUAGUCCAAUUUUGCAAUUUUAUAUAUUAGUAUUGGUAUUACAUCAAGAUUUUUAUAAUAUAAAAUAUAUUUAUCCUACAAAUAUUAAUUUUGAAACAUUAAUAUACUUUUUAUAGACAUCCACAAAAUUAUUUUAUUCUACAAAUAUUAAUAUUGAAUCAUUAAUAUAAUUUUUAUAAGCCGCCGCAACGCGCGGCUUCUCAACUAGUAAUAACUAAGAGCAAGUGCGAUAGGUUAACUAUUUCCUUGUAUAAUACUAUGAAAUAGUGAAUCUUAGAUUUAGAAGAUCAACUUUUAGUGUCAACUCCUAUAGAAAUUCUUAUUUUUGUUCCCUAUUAUUAUUUUAACAAUAAAUUUUAGGAAAAGAAGGAAGAAAUGAGAGAAAAGAUAAAAAAAAAAAGAAAUAAAUUGUUUAUUCAUAAAUAUUAAAUAUAUAAUGAUUAGAGAUUACCUAAAAUAGGUAAUAAUUAGAAAAUUUGGAAAUGCGCUAAUAAUUUAGAUAAUCAGCAUAUAAUGGUGGACACUGAUACAUUACCCAAAUAUAAAUAUAGAACCUCAUUUAGAUAUAUCAUUGUUCAUAUUAUUUUUAAUUAACUAAGCAAACAUCCCAUUUUUAAUGUUCCAUAUGUUUUUUAUAUGUCAUUUUUGACUUGAGCACGCACUUUUAGGUUAGUAGACUAGAUGUUAAUUAUUAUUAUUUUUAAUUAAUUUUUUUGUGAAAUAAAAUUUGAAUUACAUAAUUUUUCAUAGAAAAAACAUUCAAAAAUAAUAUUUUUAACUGUUCGGUCAAAACAAUUAAAAAAUACUAUGUAUCACAAGUUAAAACGUCUUAUAUCAAAAAUAGAGGGAGUAUAAUUGGAGGGGGAGAGCAUUAUUAAAGUCGAAUACAGAAAAAGGGAAAGUAAGUGAGAGAGUGAGGAGGAUGAUGAUGUCGAGAAUGAGAAGCGCUUUCACUGCUUGCUUCACUUCAGACGCUGUUUGUGACAAGGGCUUUCUUGGAUUUCUCAGACAUGGUACUCCUGCUCUUACUACUGCUAGUUCUUCUUGUCGUGUUAUUACACUUUCUCAAUCCUCCACUUGCCCUAACCCUAAUCACAUACCCAAUCAUCUUUCGGAAUUUGACCAAUUACUGUUGGAGAAAUCUAGAGUUGGUUUUGAUAAGCUCGAUGAUGCUCUUCGAGUGUUUGAUAAAAUGCUCCGUAUGAAGCCUCUUCCUAUUGUCAUGAAAUUUAAUCAACUCUUGGCCGCCCUUGUCAAGAUGAAACAUUACUCCGCGGCUGUCUCCGUCUUUUCAAAGAUGUGCACUUUUAACAUUGCUGUUGAUAUAGUUACUUAUAGUAUUGUAAUCAACUGUUGUUGCCAUUUGAAACGCGUUGAUUAUGGCUUUGCGCUGUUGGCUGCCAUCUUUAAGCGUGGUUUUGUCCCUACUAUCGUUACCUACACAACUCUUGUUAGGGGACUCAUAUCCCAGGAUAGGUUUCUUGAGGCUGAGCUUAUGUUCAAGAACCUUCUCAAGUACAAUGAGAUUCAGCCCAAUGCAGUUAUUUUUAACACCAUCAUUGACGGCCUCUGCAAAACUGGCAACACUUCCCAGGCUAUGAUGUUGCUUAGAUACAUGGAGAAGAAAGGUUGUAUGCCGAACGUUGUAAAUUAUAACACUAUUAUUGAUGGUUUGUCCAAAGACAGAUUAGUCGAUGAUGCUCUGGGUCUUCUUGCCGAAAUGAGAGACAAAGGCAUUCAACCAGAUGUUGUAACCUACAGCUCACUAAUUCUAGGUCUGUGCAACUUUAACCGAUGGGAUGAUAUAACACAAUUGUUAAAAGAUAUGGACAAACACAAAAUUUCUCCAGAUAAGCAUACUUAUAAUAUAUUGAUUGAUGCACAUGCCAGAGAUGGAAAGGUCAAAGAUGCUGAAUAUCUAAUAGAGUUAAUGAUUCGAAGAGGCCAACCUGCGGAUGUAGUCACAUAUAAUACGCUAAUGGAUGGAUACUGCUUGAGAGGAGAGUUGGAUAAAGCGUUAGCAGUGCUCAGAAUCAUGAGAAAUGAGGGGAUUUUCCCCGAUGCUCAUACCUAUACCAUAUUGAUCAAUGGUUAUUGUAAAAAGAUGAAAGUAGACACAGCCAUACAUCUCUUAGAAGAAAUGACCCUGAAAGGUUUAACACCUGCAAUCGAAACGUACAAUACUAUUCUAGAUGGGUUAUUUCGUGCGCGUAGGCUUGAUGAAGCACAUAAGUUUUAUAAGAAGAUGUUAAACCAAGGUGUUAAACGGAAUGUAGUGACAUGCAGGAUCUUGUUGCAUGGACUUUGCUGGAAUGGACUUGUUGUUGAAGCAAUGUCCGUGUUUCACAAGAUGGAGUCAUGUGGUUUAGUUCCUGACAUACAAAUUUAUUCUAUUCUGAUUCAUGGAUUGUUCAAGAAUGGCAAGGUUGACGAGGCAAGAAACCUUUUUCAAACUAUUCUUUUCAAGGGUUUACGGCCUAGUGUCAUAUCUUACAACAUUAUGAUCCAAGGAUUCUGUCAAGAGGGGUUGCUGGAAGAAGCAUAUAAUAUACUCUUGGAAAUGGAAGAAAACAAUUGCUUGCCUGAGGAAGUUACAUACAAUACUCUUAUCCGCGGCUGCUUUAAGAAUAAGAUGUAUGAUGGAGCUUGUGUGCUUAUAGAUGAAAUGUGUGCUCAUGGUUUCAAAGCAGAUGCCUCUACCACCUCCAUGCUAUUUGAUUUGCUGCAAUCGAAGGAGCAGGACCCUGCGCUCCAUGCUUUGCAAAAGAAGUUCAUGCCUUGAGUACAUCAAUGAGAGAGUUUAUUAAGGUACAAAAUACUUUUAAAUUGCCGGAACUUUGUAAUAGUUUGCUACAAUAUUUUAAAUCAAUAGCAAUUGUGAUAUUGGAGUUGAUAAAAUAUUUGAGUUUGUUAAAUAUUUACUUUUGAAGUGGUGGCCGUGUUGUCUUUGCAUCAUUUUGCAAAACGAGAAGUAUGAUAAAGCAUGCAUUUUUUCUUCGGCAAAAUACUAGAAGCUGGGUUCUUAGGGGAUGCAUACCACCUGUGUAUUACGAGACCUACUUGGAACAAAUUAGCUGGAUCCUUCUACUCUUUCUUUUCGUAAAAAGUUUGCCAUGACACUCUGCAGCAUUAUAUUUUACUUGCAUUACAUUGUAAGUUUGUCUUCUAUUUUUGCAGUCGACUACCAGUUAUUUCAAGUACUGUAUGGGUUACAUGUAGUUGCAUAAAGGUGUCUUCAGUGCAGCAAAUGUGAAGUACACCAACAUUUCCAUUUAUUUUGUUGAUAUAUUAGUUCUUAGUAUUAUAUAUUUUAUUCCUUGUCUCUUUGUAAUUUUAAUAUCUCUUCUAAAAUACAGGGAAAUGAUCCAAAAUACUAUCCUCUGUUUUUAAAUUUGUUUUCAUUUUCAAAUAAUUAAUUUUUUUUCAUUUUACUAUGUUCACAAAAUUUUAUAUAAAUUGCCUAAAUUUAAGUUUGUUUAUACGGAAAUACUCUAAGCAACUAAGUAUGAGCCUAUCUGUAACUAUUAUAUAAAACCAUUGCGGAGACGAUGAGAAAGGCUGUCACUACAUCCUCAGUGUCUUACUAUUAUUUACUUUCUCAUUUCUCACAACCUGAUCCUAGUCCCAGUAUUCAAAUCCCCAUAUAUUCCUUCUUCAUCUAUACCUCAUUUGUAGCUUCAGCAGUUACUUCAUAAGGAAUAUGAGGUUUGUUUUGAUAUUAACUAUUCUUUAUGAUUGACUUCAAUCAACUGUUAUCCGCCAUCGCUAAAACAUAACAAUACACUGUUGCUGUUUCUUUUUAGUGAUAUUUGUACAUUCUCCAUUCCAGUUGAUCUAUAUACCAUUAAUACCGUCAUUUAUUAUUGUUGUCAACUGAAUAGAGUUUAUAAUGCUUUUUCAUGAAGUGUCUUCUUUUGCCAAAUGUUAUCUACACCAUACUCUUAGAGCAACUCCAAUGGGGGUACCAUUAAUACACUGUUGCUGUUUCAUGAAGCGUCUUCUUUUGCCAAAUGUUGUUACCUACACCAUACUCUUAAGGGGUUAUCUCUCAUGACAAACCUCUGUAGGUUGAGCACUGGUUCGAGAAGCUCAGCAUAAUCAGACUAAUUGAACCUGGUGUUGUUCCAUUAUUGAUAGGUUGCAACAAACCUAUCAAUAUGGACCUUCCACUCUUGCAAGUUUAAUAAAUAUGUUCUCAACAUCAUAUUUUUGUUUUGGGCUGCUAACAAGCGCUUUUAAGUUCGCAAAGUACCAGAGUGCCCACCCUAGGAGCUUCCAUGAUUUUCAUGGACCAGCAUAUACUUGUGAUUUAAUUGUCACAAUUCUAUUAGUUCUGACCAUUAGAUCCAGGCGUGGCAAAACAGUUAACAGAAGCACCUUCAUAUCCAAAGCUAUUCACGACCCAUGCCAAAAGCCAUUCAUUCAGCAUCUUCCGCAUCUUUCAUUCCAUGAUUUCAAUCAUUAGCUGUUGUUCAUUUUAAUUCCUUUUGCUAAUCCCCAGGGGACCAUUCCAUUUAUCCGUUCUUCUCUCGGAGACCUCUUUUUUAGUUUUGUCUUUGUCAUUGAUUAGCGAUACGUCUACCUGAUCUCCCCAAAUGAACAUGUCAGUAGGAUGGUACAUGCCAAUGUUCGAGUAAAUGCUAUAUACAUACAUAGUUAUAUUCACGUCUCCUGAUUAGCAAAAACGUCCACUUCUUGGGUGAUUCAACUUGUAAAGGUUAGUUUUCUCCAAAAACUUUUUUUUUUUUUUUAUGUUUUUGUUGUGUUCUUUGGUUUGUGUUGCUGAUAAAGAUGAUAGGAUUGAUUGAUGAUCUUUUUGUGCUAAAGUCAAGAUUAUGGGAUGUUUUGUGUUCGUUUGAAGUUUUGGUAUCGAACUAUAUGAUCUCACAAUUGUUGUGAGUUUGACCACUUUAUCUUUAUUUAUAAAUUUAUUUUUAUUGUAUUUACAAGACCACUUUACUUUCAAAUGCAUAAAUAUUAAAGCUUGAUGGUGUUUUUUUUGGGUUUUAUGUGUGUGAACUCUGAUUGUAUUGGUUUCUUUAUUGCUUGAUGUUUUUGUAGAGUUUGGUGCGUGCAGGAGUUGUGAAGAAACUUUGAGGAGUUUUGGGCCAUUCUUGAUUUAGGUCAUUACUAAAUGUGGACCAUAAGGAGUGUUGUCUACAUGAUGGGCUUCUGUGGUCAAGGACUCAAGGUUCUGGGCAACACUUUAAUGGGGACUUUUCAAUGGCUGUAGUUCAAGCUAAUAAUUUACUGGAGGCUCAGAGUCAGCUUGAAUCAGGCUGUCUGAGCUUUAACGAGUCAGGCCUGUAUUGUACUAUUGUAGGAGUUUAUGAUGGACAUUGUGGCCCUGAGACAUUGCCUUUAUCAGUGUUCAACUCUUUCAGCUUCUAAAGAGUAACUAUCUUUUCUUCCAAUAGAGUUUUAAGUCAUUGUAUUGGAUUUGUUAGUUUCUUACAAGAACUAAGAUAUACUAAAUGGACGCAAACUGUAGAUUUUGUUGAAUACUGAUGCUUAUUAUUCGUUUGAACCUUCAUGAUGACCAAAUAAAUGUUGUGGCUUACUUGUUUCGUGCAUGUUUUUGUUUUAGGCGAAACCCUAUUACAUUUGACACGUACCUUAAAAAAAACAUAGGGUGGUUCCAUUCAUGUAUGGGAAACCAAAUAAAAUGAACUUGUAAACAAUUGAGGAAUCAUUGAUGUGUAUGCUUUUAGUCUCUCUUACUUUUCCAUGGGUUUGAGGUUAAGUAUCUAUCUGUGUUUUGCAGAAUUUGCAUCUGAGCAUCAAUCCAUGUCAGAGGAGUUAAUAAGAAAGGCAUUUCAUGCAACAGAAGAGAGUUAUACAUCUAUUAUUCGCAAGCAAUGGCCAAUACAAAUUACAACUUGCCGCAGUCGGGUCCUGUUGCUGGGUUGGAGUGAUAUGCAUGGAAAUCUCUAUAUUGCAAAUCUUGGUGACUCAUGUGCUGUGUUAGGCACACUUGUCAAGCCAAGAGGGGAAGUUCUUGCUAUUCAGCUUUCAGCGGAACAUAAUACGUGCAUCGAGUACGAAGACGAGAGUUGCAUUCUGUUCACCCAGAUGAUCGGCAGAUAGUUGUAAUCAUAUGUAGUUCCUGUCUUCAGGUCCCAGAUCUGUCUUUCAAAAGCCGAGAACAACUCAAAAAAUGUAAGACUCUGAACUUGUAAAUAUAUACUUUUCACUAGCCAUUUGGGCUGCCACAAUGAUGUCUAACACCUUGAAGGCCUCAGUUGUGGUGUUUACCGGAACCGGCUCCAUGGCUAUUCUUCUCAGCCACUAUCAUCCUUCUGGAACUAUUUUUGCCUUUGCAAAUGAGUAAGUUUCACAAUUACAUUCUUAAUUUGAGUAUUGCCCUUACCUUCCUUGAUUGCAGGUGCUGAUUGAAGGUACAUGGAGGUUCCAGUCGGGUCCUGUUGCUGGGUUGGAGUGAUAUGCAUGGAAAUCUCUAUAUUGCAAAUCUUGGUGACUCAUGUGCUGUGUUAGGCACACUUGUCAAGCCAAGAGGGGAAGUUCUUGCUAUUCAGCUUUCAGCGGAACAUAAUACGUGCAUCGAGUACGAAGACGAGAGUUGCAUUCUGUUCACCCAGAUGAUCGGCAGAUAGUUGUAAUCAUAUGUAGUUCCUGUCUUCAGGUCCCAGAUCUGUCUUUCAAAAGCCGAGAACAACUCAAAAAAUGUAAGACUCUGAACUUGUAAAUAUAUACUUUUCACUAGCCAUUUGGGCUGCCACAAUGAUGUCUAACACCUUGAAGGCCUCAGUUGUGGUGUUUACCGGAACCGGCUCCAUGGCUAUUCUUCUCAGCCACUAUCAUCCUUCUGGAACUAUUUUUGCCUUUGCAAAUGAGUAAGUUUCACAAUUACAUUCUUAAUUUGAGUAUUGCCCUUACCUUCCUUGAUUGCAGGUGCUGAUUGAAGGUACAUGGAGGUUCCAGUUAGUAUUUAAAGUUGAAAGAAACAGGCACCUGCCCUGUAAAUUUAUCCUGGGUUUCUUUUGACUGGUUUCAGAGGUUAUGGACAAACUGGCAAAGGAGGAUAUUUUAACUAAAUGCGGAACAAAUGCUUACAUUAUUAAUAAGCUGAAGGUUUUUUAUAUAUAACUUAUGUUUCUAUUUAUUUCCUUGUUAGUUUUCCUUUCGUGAUCCUCACUGUCAUGGAAACAACAGUUCCAGAAAUCUGACUAUGAAUUUGAAGCUGUCAAAGAGGAAAAUUAUGGCCAGAUAUUUCGAAAUGGCAGUAAAGUUCAGCCAAACAUGGAUGAGGAUCAUAUGUGCAUGAGAUAAAUGUAGACCAACUAUAUUUGACUUGUAUAUAUUUUCUUUUUUAGGGGCGAAGUGUUUCUCUUCUGCUAACUAAGUACGGGAUCCAGUAACUAAUUAGCUUCUAUUCUUGUUUAUGUAUGUAUCCUCUCUACUGAAAACUCUUACUUCCAAUUUUUUUAAAGCUCCUUUAAGUUCUGGUUAAUGAGUUUUUGCAAGUUUUCAAUUUUACCUACAUAUGUGAGUCAAGAUAGAAAAUAAGUCUGAGAAGAAUGCAUAAAUUAUUUUUAGUUGUAAUCUAAUUUAUAAUUGCAGAUCUCAUAUGUUUUUGUAUAAGCUUUCUUGUAAGACUAUAAAUUUGUUUUAUCAAAUAUUUGUGUGGGAGUUAAUUUAUAGUGAUAAACAUAAUGUGAUGUCACCUAUCCUUUACCUUAUAGAAUAGUAGCGGUGAUCGCGGUGCGGGCGGUGCAGUUUUUCGCUAAAACCGCGAACCAAACCGCAUUGAAAACUCAAACCGAACUGCACCACGCUACAAAAAAACCGUAUAAACCGCAUCACAAAAAUGCGGUGCGGUUUGUAUGAAGAAUAAAUAUUUUUAGUUGAAGUCAUAAAAAAAAUUGAAUAUAUGAUAAUUAAAACCUUUUCUUGUAAUGAAUUCAUAUAAUAUUUAUCAUUUCAGAGCUGCAACAACUACUAAAAUAACACAAACAAAAGUGUAAAUAUAAUAAUAAAUAUAAAUACUAACUACUAAGAGACAUAUUAUUGUAAUAUAUUCAUAUCAUACUAAUUUGGUAUAAUAGUAAUGCAAGAUUGAUAAAAUAAUAAUUAAUUAUUAUUUGAAGAGAUUUAACAAAUAUAUGGAACAUAAUUAUAAAUAAUAUAUAUGUAUAUAAUAUAAUUUUAUUUGAUAAUCAUUAAUAUAUAUAUAUAUAUAUAGGCUCAUGAUCAAAUAGAAACCACUCUUAAAAUAAAAACUAGAAACCAGUUUACCUACCACUAUUUAUAACUACGGGUAUCACUAAUUUAUACUGCACUAAUCACUGUUUUUAUACAGUAUGUAAACAUCGAUUUUUCUUAUCAAAAUUGAGAAAAUCUACUUAUCAAAAUUAUUGAUAAUCGAUUAUAGAUGAUUAAUUUCAUCCGUAUGAAGGUUCUUGGUGGUAGGUUGCCGCAAGAGAAGUUGUAUGAUGAUAGUAAGUAGUCGUUAGUUUUGUAUGUUAUGAUGGAAAGUGUAUGUGACUAUUGGUGAUGAUAGACAAUAGUGGCAAGUCAUAGAAACGUUUGGUAAUGGUGGUAAGAGGUCCAUUAUUACGAUUUGGGUGAAGAUGAUGGUCAUAUACGUUGCAUAUAUGUGUAUAUAUAUAUUUAUAUUCGCGUGAUAUGAUAUAUAUAAAUUAGUGAUAUGUUAUGUACAAAUUAGUGAAUUCUGUAGUUAAAAAUAGUGAUAAAAAACUGUCCAAAAACUGGUUUUUAGUUUUUAGGCUAUUUUGGUUUCUAUUGGAGUAGGACUCUAUAUAUAUAUAUAUAUAUAUGUAUGUAUGUAUGUAUGUAUGUAUGUAUGUAUGUAUGUAUGUAUGUAUGUAUGUAUNNNNNNNNNNNNNNNNNNNNNNNNNNNNNNNNNNNNNNNNNNNNNNNNNNNNNNNNNNNNNNNNNNNNNNNNNNNNNNNNNNNNNNNNNNNNNNNNNNNNNNNNNNNUAUAUAUAUUAUAAUAUUGCGGUGCGGUGCAGUUUGAACCACACUACUAAUAUGUCAAACCGCAACCCGCACCGCACCGCGUGGUUUGUGAAAAAUACAAACCGCAACCGCACCACGAAAAUUAAAAACCGCGUUUUGUGGUGCGGUGCGGGCGGUUUACGCGGUUUGGACGGUUUUUUGAUCACCCCUAUAGAAUAGUAUUGCUCAAUUAUUUUACAAUCACUUGUAGGUAUUUUUAUCACGCUCUUGCAAUGGACUACAUUACUGUUUCCAUGUUUCACAACAAGCUCGAAGUAGAGAAGUAGAAGUCAACCAUACCACUGUGCACAAACUAAUUGAUAAGAUGACAAAAGAAGGGUUUGACGAAGCUCAAAGCAAUAGAAGACUUGGUGUGAAAAUGGAGCAUUAAAAUUACAUUUGGUGCAUGAAUCAGAUUUGUUGAUCGAUAUUUACAUAUUCCUUUUAUUUUUGUAGGCAAGCCGGUGAUCAAUCCUUAUUUAACUGAGAAAAAAUUGCAUGAAGUCGAGAAAAACAAACUUGAACCUUAAUUAGAUGGUGGAAGUUCUGUAGGCACAUUACAACGCAAGUUUCUAUAAUUUUCUUGUGAACAGAUUUUUAAUAUGAAAAUUAUGUUGAUAGGAGCUAAAAGAGCUCUAAAGGAAGAUGAACCACUUAAAACCUCAGACAAUUGUUACAUAAUUGAUCAAAUUAUUUCUCCUCUAACUUGAACAGAAUGAUUCACUACUUUAACUCUUUAGUGAUAACCAGGAAGCAAAGAAAAUUGUCUACUUGUGGCGGAGCUCAAUUAGAUCAGAUCUAACUCGCAUGAUAGCCGAGCCUGAUGCUUAUCAAAACGGAUGUGUCAGGAGUGACCAUACUGUUGUAAGGAUGAAAGAGCAUGGAACCCUCACAAGCAGAGCUCAGGUUUGUCCGGUCAACAACUGCCUUAAAUUUACCAAGUCAGAGAUGUUUUGCUUUUUGAUUUUCUAUGUUCCGUGACCCAAAAACCUGUAAUCUGACCUUUUUUAAUCAAGCAACCAACAGCUUCUAGAGAGAGUUUUGCACAAGUAAUGAAAAUUGUGAAAAUUGCAGGGAGUUUGAUGCAAUCAUGUGUAGCAAGUCGUCAUCUCAGAGCAAGUGGUCACAAAAGCAGGCAAUGCAAGUGCUGUAAGCUUCAUGGUUGUGUUUUUAUAUUUAGUUAAUUGUCAUCGGCCAUUAAAGAGAUCCAAUGUCAUAAGAUUAAUACUCUAUAUACACACACAAAAAGUAUCAUUUUCUGAUUUCAAAGUUGUGCAUGUAUAUCCCCCUUCUGUUAAUUAUAUGUAUAUCCUCACGAUAAGAUUUUUUAGUGCAGAAUAAGAAUGUAACAAUAAAAUGACAUAUUGUUGUUGAGUAUUACAGUAAUGACCAACCAACCUAAUUUCUAGAACGAAAGUAGUCUUAAACGACUCUUUUGUAGAGGCUUAAGUUUUCAUUUUUUUGGUGACAGGUUAAGGAUCCUAUCCUUCAGUGCACUAAACGCCAGAAGACUCAAGUCGCCUAAAAAGAAUCGGACUAUAUGGCCAUAUAAUUUCUGGUGCUUAUUUCUACUUAUCCCUAUUUCAUGAGCCUAAUAGACUUUUCUACUUCAUAUAUCACUUGAAUCAGUUUUCUACCUUUUUUUGUUGAGCCUUUUUUUUUAGUAUACAUUCUCUCUCAUUUCAUUCAACACUUCUUCUAUCAAGCAUGUAUAUCGAGCAUGUAUGUGUCCAUUUAUAAAAAUAAGCGAUUCAUACCAGGUUCGUGCCUUGCAUGCAGGGCCAUUCCAUACCUUUUGAGGGCUCAGGGGCCAAAAAAGAAAAUGGGCCCUAUUUUUUUUUUGCUUCGCUAAAUUUGAUAAAAUAUAACCUUGUAACAAUGCAAACUCAAAUUUUAGUCAACUUCCGUAAGAAAAUAACUAUAAAAUGAUGAAGUUUAGCGAUAAAGUGUACCGGAUGUAAAAAAAAGAAGAUUAAACAAAUAUUUGAUGACAUUUAUCUGUUAGUGCAUGAUUGAUAGUACCAUUAGUUUAGGUACGGACGUAGUCACUUAGGAUAGAAUAGGCUUACAGGACUGAUAUAUACUAAUAACAAUACAUAAAUUAUAAAAAUUUUGGGCCCUUAAAUUUUUUGGGCCCUGGGCGGUCGCCCUGGUUGCCCUCCCUCUGGGCCGGGCCUGCUUGCAUGGGCACUAAUGCUAGUUAAAACUGAUAUAACAAUCCAGUAUCUAUACACACUUAGCAUCUUUUUGCUCCAAAGCUUUGGCCUUCUUUUUCUGUUCUGCAAACCUACCUUCAAGCAUUGAAACCUUUUCUUCUAGUAAUGAAAUAUUUUCUUCCAAAUAAAUCCUUUUGUUAUUCAGUUGGGUUACAAUAUAUGUGCCUUCCUUCAAUCUCAACAUCGAACCAUUCAAACUAAUCACUGGUAAUUUUUUUUCAUAAUUAAAGAAAAAAUUCAUCACUAAUUCAUUGCUUGCAAUUAAUAAAACCAAAAACUUACUUAUGAUUGACAACAUGUAUUAAAUCUUUGUCUAGUGUUUUUCAAAGACCAAGAACGGUAAAUCUUUGCUUUCUGUCAGCAAAUCACAAAUAUUAUUAUGUGCUGAAAGUUGAGAAGAUCUUACUGAGUUCAUUGACCUGGAGCAAACUUGAGGUGAUUUUGCUGAGUUCAUUGACAUGGAGUUUUCAAAUAUCAGCUUUUUCAGAAGAACAUUAAUAUUUUUAAAUUUUUUGGAUAUAAAUGUUAAAGAAAUUUUAUAUUCGUUAUGUGAUUAAGAACAAGGAUUUGUUCAAAAAGUCUUAUUUUUUUAAACAUUAAUAUUUUUAUAAUUUUUUAGAUAUAAAUGUUAAAGAAGUAUUUUAUAUUCGUUAUUUGAUUAAAAACAAAGACUUAUUUUAAUAAAAGUUGAGUUUUAUGUAUUUUUUCCCUAGAAAUAAACUCUUAUUUUUCUGGAAAAUAGAAUUAGCCAAAAAGCACGCUUAGUUUUGGAAGUUUCGUUGUCUUGCAAUAUGACUUAUAGUCGGUUUGUCCUAGCGGACUUAAAACUGUUUCUGGCCUAUUUAUAUAAUAAGUUAAUUAGUUAUUUUUAUUAAACUGUGUAAUUUUUAAAAAUAAAUAUAUAAUUUAAAUUUUAAAAGUGCUUAUCAAAAAAUUGUAGAAGACUGAUUUUUUUUUUCUUCUUGCACACAAACACCACCUAGAUUAAAGAAAAUGGUCUCACCUGGGGUCAAAGUCAUUUUAAAUGCGUUACCAACAAUACAAAUGCAAAAGACAAGCAGCAUUCUCUUUUUUUAAAGAAACAACGGAGGAGCAGAGUUUCUAAAAACAAGGGCAAGUGCAAGAUGAAGACGAUGAUGAGAACGAGGAGGGCUUUCACUACUGGCCUCACUUCAAACACUCUUCUUCCACUCCCAAGACCUAUACUAUAUUCUCUUUUGGAUGGCUUAUUUCGUACGCGUAGGCUUGAUGAAGCACAAAAGUUUUAUAGGAAGAUGUUAAACCAAGGUGUUAAACUGGAUAUAGUGACAUGCAGGAUCUUGUUGCACGGACUUUGCUGGAAUGGACUUGCUGUAGAAGCAAUGUCCGUGUUGCAUGAGAUGGAGUCAUGUGGCUUAAUUCCUGAUAUACGCAUUUAUAAUAUCUUGAUUCAUGGAUUGUUCAAGGACGGCAAGGUUGAUGAGGCCAGAAGCCUUUUUUAUAAUCUUCGUUUGAAGGGUUUACAGCCUAGUGUCAUAUCUUACAACACUAUGAUCCAAGGAUUCUGUCAAGAGGGGUUGCUGGAAGAAGCAUAUAGCAUACUUUUGGAAAUGGAAGAAAACAAUUGCUUGCCUAAUGAAGUUACAUACAACACUCUUAUCUGUGGAUGCUUUAAGAAUAAGAUGUAUGAUGGAGCUUGUGUACUUAUAGAUGAGAUGUGCAUUCAUGGUUUCAAAGCAGAUGCCUCUACCACCUCCAUGCUAUUGGAUGUGCUGCAACCGAAGGAGCAGAACCCCGCCCUCCUUGCUAUGCAGAAGAAGUUCAUGCCUUGAGUACAUCAAUGAUCGAGUUUAUUAAGGUACAAAAUACUUUUAAAUUGCCGGAACUUUGUAAUAGUUUGCUAAAGAAACUUAAAUCAAUAGCAACUGUGAUAUUGGAGUUGAUAAAAUAUUUAAUUUCAUGAAAUAUUUACUUGGGAAAUGGUGGCCGUGUUGUAUUUGCAUCAUUUUACAAAAUGAGAAGUAUGAUAAAGCAUGCAUUUUUUCUUCGACAAAAUGCUAGAAGCUGGGUUCUCAGCGGAUGCAUACCACCAUUAUAGUUGCAUAAAGGUGUCUUGAGUGCAGCAAAUGUGAAGUACAUCAACAUUUCCAUUUAUUUUGUUGAUAUAUUAGUUCUUAGUAUUAUAUAUUCUGUUCUCUAUCUCUUUAUAAUUCUAAUAUCUCUUCUAAAAUACAGGGAAAUAAUCCAAAAUACUAUCCUCUGUUUCUAAAUUUGUUUUCUGUUUCAAAUAAUAAACUUGUUUUCAUUUUUACUAUGUUCACAAAUUUUUAUAUAAAUUGCCUAAAUUCAUUCGGUAAUACUCUAUGCAACUAAUAAGUAUAAACCCAUCUGUAACUAUUGUUUUAAAAUAUAACACCAUUCUGGAGAUGAUGAGAAAGGCUGUCACUAUAUCCUCUGUCUUACUCUUUACACCAUUUCUAAUUUAUUACUCACUUUCUCAUUUCUUCACUACCUGAUCCUAGUCCCAGUAUUAAAUCCCCCUAUAUUCCUUCUUCAUCUAUACCUCAUUUGCAGCUUCAGCCGUUACUUCAUUAAGAAUAUGAGGUUCGUUUUGGUUAACUAUUCUUGUGUGAUUGACUUCAAUCAACUGUUAUCCGCCAUCGUUAAAACAUAAUCGGAAAGUCUCUAUAUGAAGUUACAAUACUACACUCUUAUCCGUGGCUGCUUUAAGAAUAAGAUGUAUGAUGGAGGUUGUGUGCUGAUAGAUGAUAUUUGUGCUUAUGGUUUUAAAGCAGAUGCCACUACCACCUCCAUGCUAUUCGAUUUGCUGCAUUCAAAAGAGCAGGACCCCGCACUCCUUGCUUUGCAGAGAAGUUCAUGCCUUGAGUACAUCAAGGAGAGAGUGUAUUAUGGUACAAAAUACUUUUAAAAUGCCAGGACUUAC
Molecule: long non-coding RNA, 18699 nt
Filed under: Daucus carota (carrot)
Lineage: Eukaryota; Viridiplantae; Streptophyta; Magnoliopsida; Apiales; Apiaceae
Description: long non-coding RNA (DCAR_LNC006017)
Source: RNAcentral